Rhipicephalus microplus (southern cattle tick) is the source of this 279-nucleotide long non-coding RNA. The record is from RefSeq and is a predicted model, not a curated record. Lineage: Eukaryota; Metazoa; Arthropoda; Arachnida; Ixodida; Ixodidae.
GUCAAGAACAUGUUGCCUCGUUAUCGCCUGGUUCUGCGUCCAACUCCUCAACUUCGUUCGUUGGGGAGAAAUAUGCGGGAUCCUCUUCCGCCAGUCUGUCGGUGCCGACGCAACAGACACAACUUGCAGUGAUGGGUUUGGACGACGAAAGCGUAAUAGCGCCUGUGGAAAGCCUGCCCGAGGUUUCUCCUGAAGUCCCACUAAGCCCGCAGUCCAGCAAUAGCCAGGCACACAUGGACGUGGCUUUGUCAGGUUCGCUUGUUCCUGUGACUUCAAUUG